UAAAAGGGCAGAAAGACGCGUGAUUAAUGAGCGACGUUCACCUUUUACCUGGCAUCUACCUGCAGGAGCUGCUGUGUUGGAGCUGUGGAGCCACGGAGCUGCAGCGCUCUGUGUAAUUCACUGCAGGGAGAGCAAUGAGUGACAAAGGCCGCACCUCUAACGAGCAUCAGUGGCUGCAGCGAGAUGAUUUGUGAGACAGGAAGAGGAAACGGGGGAUGACACCAUGAUUCACAGGCCACCAGCUGAAAAGAACGACCCCACCCUGGAGGUAUGGACGAGCUUCUCAUCACUCUCUUACUCUCUCAUCAUCGCGUUGACUGGCUGGCACGCCCGAGGACACGAGAAAGCCAGACACAGACACUGGCAGGUUGACUUCUCAGUGGUAUGGCAGGUCUCAGUGUAUCUUUCGAGGUCGUGACCCUCCCGGACUCUGACCUGGACAAACAGGACUGAGGAGCUGCCACAGGACGUGGAAUGUUCCCUUUUUUUUGGGGGGGGCUUUUGUUUUGUUUCACUUUUUUGAUGAAAAGGUGGAAAAUUCCUGCCUCUUCACUUGCCCGAGCAACAGAAAACAUUUUCUUGGCAACAAACGAGGCUGAGUUUACACAAGAAACAUGAUGUGACCGUUUCAAAAUUAUAGCAGCUCGUGCACAGUGUUGUUACUGAGAAUGAAUUACUCUUUGCUUUUUCUUUGAUUGCCGUCUUCUAAGCCACUGAAAUUCUGAUUUAUUGUGAGGGGCAGCGCAUUUUCUUUGUAAACAUAUUUUUGGAGUUAGCGAACUCACUUGUCUGUAUUAUCUGUGUAUGUCCCACAUUAUGUAUGUUCCCAAUGCGUCUGGUCCCAUGUGGAACCACUUGUUUUUUAAUAAAAGGAGAAAGAAAAA
Molecule: long non-coding RNA, 884 nt
Organism: Hippoglossus stenolepis (Pacific halibut)
Lineage: Eukaryota; Metazoa; Chordata; Actinopteri; Pleuronectiformes; Pleuronectidae
Exons: 5
Source: RefSeq, a predicted model, not a curated record